Molecule: transfer RNA, 67 nt
Filed under: Marmota monax (woodchuck)
Lineage: Eukaryota; Metazoa; Chordata; Mammalia; Rodentia; Sciuridae
Description: tRNA.Asp
Source: RNAcentral
GGUUGUGGCUCAGAGGUAGAGCGCUAGCCUAUCAUGCAUGAGGCACGGGGUUCGAUCCUCAGCACCA